UGCUUCCCCGGUUUCUAAGGGCAUUGGAAGGCUGUUGGAAUGGAUGGUGCUAAGGCAUUUGCCUGGGUUGGGGCCUGCAUCCGAUCGACACUGACAAUUCCUGAGAUUCCCCAACCCAGGUCUGUCUUGAAGGCAAAGAGUGAGUAUCUCGGGCCUCUGACUACUUCAG
Non-coding RNA from Notechis scutatus (mainland tiger snake), 169 nucleotides. Lineage: Eukaryota; Metazoa; Chordata; Lepidosauria; Squamata; Elapidae. The record is from RefSeq and is a predicted model, not a curated record.